This 464-nucleotide ribosomal RNA is filed under the name uncultured bacterium. RNAcentral's name for it is "partial 16S ribosomal RNA". It matches the Rfam family "Bacterial small subunit ribosomal RNA", at positions 28 to 507 of the family's 1533-position model. The record is from RNAcentral.
GACGAACGCUGGCGGCGUGCUUAACACAUGCAAGUCGAACGGAAAGGCCCCUUUGGGGGUACUCGAGUGGCGAACGGGGGAGUAACACGUGAGUAACCUGCCCUUGACUUCGGGAUAACUUCAGGAAACUGGGGCUAAUACCGGAUAGGAAUCCUUGCUGCAUGGUGGGGGUUGGAAAGCUUCGGCGGUUUUGGAUGGACUCGCGGCUUAUCAGCUUGUUGGUGGGGUAGUGGCUUACCAAGGCUUUGACGGGUAGCCGGCCUGAGAGGGCGACCGGCCACAUUGGGACUGAGAUACGGCCCAGACUCCUACGGGAGGCAGCAGUGGGGAAUAUUGCACAAUGGGCGGAAGCCUGAUGCAGCAACGCCGCGUGCGGGAUGACGGCCUUCGGGUUGUAAACCGCUUUCAGCAGGGGCGAAGCUUUUGUGACGGUACCUGCAGAAGAAGCACCGGCUAACUACGUG